GGUUACUGCUAUCGGUGUUCGCCUAAGCCAUGCGAGUCAUAUGUAGCAAUACAUGGCGUACUGCUCAGUAACACGUGGAUAACCUGCCCUUGGGUCCGGCAUAACCCCGGGAAACUGGGGAUAAUUCCGGAUAACGCAUAUAUGCUGGAAUGCUUUCUGCGUAAAAUGGAUUCGUCUGCCCAAGGAUGGGUCUGCGGCCUAUCAGGUAGUAGUGGGUGUGAUGUACCUACUAGCCUACGACGGGUACGGGUUGGGAGAGCAAGAGCCCGGAGAUGGAUUCUGAGACAUGAAUCCAGGCCCUACGGGGCGCAGCAGGCGCGAAAACUUUACAAUGCGGGAAACCGUGAUAAGGGGACACCGAGUGCCAGCAUCCUAUGCUGGCUGUCCGGGUGUGUAAAAUACACCUGUCAGCAAGGGCCGGGCAAGACCGGUGCCAGCCGCCGCGGUAACACCGGCGGCCCGAGUGGUGAUCGUGAUUAUUGGGUCUAAAGGGUCCGUAGCCGGUUUGGUCAGUCCUCCGGGAAAUCUGACAGCUCAACUGUUAGGCUUUCGGAGGAUACUGCCAGACUUGGAACCGGGAGAGGUAAGAGGUACUACAGGGGUAGGAGUGAAAUCUUGUAAUCCCUGUGGGACCACCUGUGGCGAAGGCGUCUUACCAGAACGGGUUCGACGGUGAGGGACGAAAGCUGGGGGCACGAACCGGAUUAGAUACCCGGGUAGUCCCAGCCGUAAACGAUGCUCGCUAGGUGUCAGGCAUGGCGCGACCGUGUCUGGUGCCGCAGGGAAGCCGUGAAGCGAGCCACCUGGGAAGUACGGCCGCAAGGCUGAAACUUAA
Molecule: ribosomal RNA, 835 nt
Filed under: uncultured archaeon
Lineage: Archaea
Description: bacterial SSU rRNA
Rfam family: Archaeal small subunit ribosomal RNA
Source: RNAcentral